UCCCUGGUGGUCCAGUGGUUAGGACUCCGAGUUUUCACUGCUGAGGGCCUGGGUUCGAUCCCUGGCCAGGAAA
Molecule: non-coding RNA, 73 nt
Organism: Bos taurus (domestic cattle)
Lineage: Eukaryota; Metazoa; Chordata; Mammalia; Artiodactyla; Bovidae
Source: Rfam